Molecule: non-coding RNA, 108 nt
Organism: Acanthosepion pharaonis
Lineage: Eukaryota; Metazoa; Mollusca; Cephalopoda; Sepiida; Sepiidae
Source: the annotation of a GenBank genome assembly
UUACGGCCACAACGCAUUCAAACACCGGUCCCUGGAUGAUCACCGAUGUUAAGCAACGUCGAGCAUGAUCAGUACCUAUAUGGGUGACCGCUUGGGAAUACUUGGAUG